CCUCUCCCUGUCCUCUCGCAACUGUCAGGCGAAACGGGCCCGCGCAUAUUGGCUCGGCUACACGCCGAGGCUCCUCCCCGAGUCUGGAUCUUUAUAUUUUGGGAGAAUUUCUUUGAACUCAGUUAGCAAGCUCGGUGAAGGAGGCAAGUUCCCACAGCCGGCUCGGUAGACGGGGUCCGCGCGCCGACCCAGGCGAGGCAGCGCGAGGGCUCGCCCACCUUCCCCGCAGCGGCCGUGCGUCCCGAUCCUAUUCCUCUUUUCCCUGGUGGAGAACUGAGGACUUACUUGACUGAGGAAAAUGCCAAUGAUGUGGAUGUGACCAUGAAAAGAGAACGUGUGACUGGAGGAGGCAGAAGAGGAUGAGGAAAAGCGUUAUUUGAAGAGAAGAAUAAGCCAGCCACUCCAACGUUUUCUGCAAAUUGGUGCAAUUACUUCUGGGGUCCAUUUGCUUUUAUUCUUUCUAACCCACAAUUAAGAAAUCUUGAUUUGAGGGUCAAGAGACAACCUCUUACAAUUGGGGAACGCUUCUGGUUGGCAGAUCUUUUGGAUGUAACAUUAUUGGAACAUUUAGACUCUCCUCGGGAAAAGCCACCAUGAAUUCGGUAGCUGGGAAUAAAGAGAGGCUUGCGGUCUCCAACCGGGGCAAGAAAUACGGGGUAAGUUGUCACGGGUUCAACACCGAGACGCGUUACCAGACCCAUCUCGGCCGGGGUCCUUCUUUCUCGGGAACGGGUGGCUCCGGCAGAGCUACCCCCAGGAGCCGGUGGCCAGCGCGCGGAUCCGAGCUCUCCUCCCGCUGCAGGGACACCUCCGCUGUGCGUGCGCGGAGGCGGGUCUGUUGCGAGGACACCCGCACACUCGCCUCGCUCUCGGAUUUUUUUCAGUCGGUUUAAUCUUUUCUUUUCUCCGGAUCCAUAACUUUUGCGGUAUUCCUGGACUUCUAGGCAGAGUUAAGCCGUAAGGAAUGUUUCCCAUGAAAUCUCUGCCUUUGGUUGCACGGAUCGUUUCCCGGGAUCCGGGAGAUCCUUUCAUUUUACCGGCAGGAUCCGGUGGGCUGUUCCCUGAAUGAAUAAAAACCCAUAAGUCACAGGGCCCUCAGAAUAGGGUCUUCUAGGAUCUUGUAACUGGGUUCUUGCUGGGGUGGGUGCCAGGUCCAAAAGCACGGGGCGCUGAAUCAGUG
Molecule: long non-coding RNA, 1180 nt
Filed under: Marmota monax (woodchuck)
Lineage: Eukaryota; Metazoa; Chordata; Mammalia; Rodentia; Sciuridae
Source: RNAcentral